GGGUUGUGAGGUUAAGCGACUAAGCGUACACGGUGGAUGCCCUGGCAGUCAGAGGCGAUGAAGGACGUGCUAAUCUGCGAUAAGCGUCGGUAAGGUGAUAUGAACCGUUAUAACCGGCGAUUUCCGAAUGGGGAAACCCAGUGUGAUUCGUCACACUAUCAUUAACUGAAUCCAUAGGUUAAUGAGGCGAACCGGGGGAACUGAAACAUCUAAGUACCCCGAGGAAAAGAAAUCAACCGAGAUUCCCCCAGUAGCGGCGAGCGAACGGGGAGCAGCCCAGAGCCUGAAUCAGUGUGUGUGUUAGUGGAAGCGUCUGGAAAGGCGCGCGAUACAGGGUGACAGCCCCGUACACAAAAAUGCACAUACUGUGAGCUCGAUGAGUAGGGCGGGACACGUGGUAUCCUGUCUGAAUAUGGGGGGACCAUCCUCCAAGGCUAAAUACUCCUGACUGACCGAUAGUGAACCAGUACCGUGAGGGAAAGGCGAAAAGAACCCCGGCGAGGGGAGUGAAAAAGAACCUGAAACCGUGUACGUACAAGCAGUGGGAGCCUCUUUAUGGGGUGACUGCGUACCUUUUGUAUAAUGGGUCAGCGACUUAUAUUCUGUAGCAAGGUUAACCGAAUAGGGGAGCCGAAGGGAAACCGAGUCUUAACUGGGCGUUAAGUUGCAGGGUAUAGACCCGAAACCCGGUGAUCUAGCCAUGGGCAGGUUGAAGGUUGGGUAACACUAACUGGAGGACCGAACCGACUAAUGUUGAAAAAUUAGCGGAUGACUUGUGGCUGGGGGUGAAAGGCCAAUCAAACCGGGAGAUAGCUGGUUCUCCCCGAAAGCUAUUUAGGUAGCGCCUCGUGAAUUCAUCUCCGGGGGUAGAGCACUGUUUCGGCAAGGGGGUCAUCCCGACUUACCAACCCGAUGCAAACUGCGAAUACCGGAGAAUGUUAUCACGGGAGACACACGGCGGGUGCUAACGUCCGUCGUGAAGAGGGAAACAACCCAGACCGCCAGCUAAGGUCCCAAAGUCAUGGUUAAGUGGGAAACGAUGUGGGAAGGCCCAGACAGCCAGGAUGUUGGCUUAGAAGCAGCCAUCAUUUAAAGAAAGCGUAAUAGCUCACUGGUCGAGUCGGCCUGCGCGGAAGAUGUAACGGGGCUAAACCAUGCACCGAAGCUGCGGCAGCGACACUAUGUGUUGUUGGGUAGGGGAGCGUUCUGUAAGCCUGCGAAGGUGUACUGUGAGGUAUGCUGGAGGUAUCAGAAGUGCGAAUGCUGACAUAAGUAACGAUAAAGCGGGUGAAAAGCCCGCUCGCCGGAAGACCAAGGGUUCCUGUCCAACGUUAAUCGGGGCAGGGUGAGUCGACCCCUAAGGCGAGGCCGAAAGGCGUAGUCGAUGGGAAACAGGUUAAUAUUCCUGUACUUGGUGUUACUGCGAAGGGGGGACGGAGAAGGCUAUGUUGGCCGGGCGACGGUUGUCCCGGUUUAAGCGUGUAGGCUGGUUUUCCAGGCAAAUCCGGAAAAUCAAGGCUGAGGCGUGAUGACGAGGCACUACGGUGCUGAAGCAACAAAUGCCCUGCUUCCAGGAAAAGCCUCUAAGCAUCAGGUAACAUCAAAUCGUACCCCAAACCGACACAGGUGGUCAGGUAGAGAAUACCAAGGCGCUUGAGAGAACUCGGGUGAAGGAACUAGGCAAAAUGGUGCCGUAACUUCGGGAGAAGGCACGCUGAUACGUAGGUGAAGUCCCUUGCGGAUGGAGCUGAAAUCAGUCGAAGAUACCAGCUGGCUGCAACUGUUUAUUAAAAACACAGCACUGUGCAAACACGAAAGUGGACGUAUACGGUGUGACGCCUGCCCGGUGCCGGAAGGUUAAUUGAUGGGGUUAGCGGUAACGCGAAGCUCUUGAUCGAAGCCCCGGUAAACGGCGGCCGUAACUAUAACGGUCCUAAGGUAGCGAAAUUCCUUGUCGGGUAAGUUCCGACCUGCACGAAUGGCGUAAUGAUGGCCAGGCUGUCUCCACCCGAGACUCAGUGAAAUUGAACUCGCUGUGAAGAUGCAGUGUACCCGCGGCAAGACGGAAAGACCCCGUGAACCUUUACUAUAGCUUGACACUGAACAUUGAGCCUUGAUGUGUAGGAUAGGUGGGAGGCUUUGAAGUGUGGACGCCAGUCUGCAUGGAGCCGACCUUGAAAUACCACCCUUUAAUGUUUGAUGUUCUAACGUUGGCCCCUAAUCGGGGUUGCGGACAGUGUCUGGUGGGUAGUUUGACUGGGGCGGUCUCCUCCUAAAGAGUAACGGAGGAGCACGAAGGUUGGCUAAUCCUGGUCGGACAUCAGGAGGUUAGUGCAAUGGCAUAAGCCAGCUUGACUGCGAGCGUGACGGCGCGAGCAGGUGCGAAAGCAGGUCAUAGUGAUCCGGUGGUUCUGAAUGGAAGGGCCAUCGCUCAACGGAUAAAAGGUACUCCGGGGAUAACAGGCUGAUACCGCCCAAGAGUUCAUAUCGACGGCGGUGUUUGGCACCUCGAUGUCGGCUCAUCACAUCCUGGGGCUGAAGUAGGUCCCAAGGGUAUGGCUGUUCGCCAUUUAAAGUGGUACGCGAGCUGGGUUUAGAACGUCGUGAGACAGUUCGGUCCCUAUCUGCCGUGGGCGCUGGAGAACUGAGGGGGGCUGCUCCUAGUACGAGAGGACCGGAGUGGACGCAUCACUGGUGUUCGGGUUGUCAUGCCAAUGGCACUGCCCGGUAGCUAAAUGCGGAAGAGAUAAGUGCUGAAAGCAUCUAAGCACGAAACUUGCCCCGAGAUGAGUUCUCCCUGACUCCCUGAGAGUCCUGAAGGAACGUUGAAGACGACGACGUUGAUAGGCCGGGUGUGUAAGCGCAGCGAUGCGUUGAGCUAACCGGUACUAAUGAACCGUGAGGCUUAACCUUACAACGCCGAAG
This 2925-nucleotide ribosomal RNA is filed under the name Escherichia coli. RNAcentral describes it as "bacterial LSU rRNA". It matches the Rfam family "Bacterial large subunit ribosomal RNA". The record is from RNAcentral. Lineage: Bacteria; Pseudomonadati; Pseudomonadota; Gammaproteobacteria; Enterobacterales; Enterobacteriaceae.